This 441-nucleotide ribosomal RNA is filed under the name uncultured bacterium. RNAcentral describes it as "bacterial SSU rRNA". It matches the Rfam family "Bacterial small subunit ribosomal RNA", at positions 54 to 476 of the family's 1533-position model. The record is from RNAcentral.
CAUGCAAGUCGGACGAGAAAUCUUGAGCAAUCGAGAGAGUACAGUGGCGCACGGGUGAGUAACGCGUGGGUAACCUACCCUUGAAUUGGGGAUAACUCCGCGAAAGCGGGGCUAAUACCGAAUAAUAUUCCAGUUCCCUCGGGAGUUGGAAUCAAAGGUGGCCUCUGCAUGCAAGCUACUGUUUAAGGAUGGGCCCGCGUACCAUUAGCUAGUUGGUAGGGUAACAGCCUACCAAGGCGACGAUGGUUAGCUGGUCUGAGAGGAUGGCCAGCCACACUGGAACUGAGACACGGUCCAGACUCCUACGGGAGGCAGCAGUGGGGAAUCUUGCGCAAUGGGGGAAACCCUGACGCAGCAACGCCGCGUGGGUGAUGAAGGCCUUCGGGUCGUAAAGCCCUGUCAGGUGGGAAGAAUCUUAUCGGUGCUAAUAUCGCCGAUGAU